This 218-nucleotide ribosomal RNA is filed under the name uncultured bacterium. RNAcentral's name for it is "partial 16S ribosomal RNA". It matches the Rfam family "Bacterial small subunit ribosomal RNA", at positions 57 to 305 of the family's 1533-position model. The record is from RNAcentral.
GCAAGUCGAGCGCACCUUCGGGUGAGCGGCGGUCGGGUUAGUAACGCGUGGGAAUAUGCCCUUCUCUACGGAAUAGCCUCGGGAAACUGAGAGUAAUACCGUAUACGCCCUUCGGGGGAAAGAUUUAUCGGUGAUGGAUUAGCCCGCGUCUGAUUAGAUAGUUGGUGGGGUAAUGGCCUACCAAGUCUACGAUCAGUAGCUGGUUUUAGAGGAUGAUC